GACGAACGCUGGCGGCGUGCUUAACACAUGCAAGUCGAGCGGAAAGACGAUGCUUUUGUUGUGUUCUCGAUAGCCGAACGGGUGAGUAACACAUGUGUAACCUGCCCUUGACUUUGUGAUAACUUCUGGAAACUUGGGCUAUUACCGCAUAGGAUCUCCUGCUGCGUGGGGGUGGUUGGAAAGUUACGGCGUUUGGGUAUGUACUCGCAGCUUAUCAGCUGGUUUGUGGGGUAGUGGCUGACCAAGGCUUUGACGGCUAGCCUGCCUGAGAGGGUGACCGGCAUCAUUGGGACUGCGGUACGGAUCAGAAUGGUAUGGGCGGCAGAAGUGGGGAAUAUUGCAAAAUGGGCGGAAGCCUGAUGCAAGAGCGCUGCGUGCGGGAUGCCCGGCUUCGGGUUGAAAACAGCUUUCGCCUGUGAAGAAGCGUGAGUGACGGUAAUGGGUAAAGAAGCACCGGCUAACUACGUG
This 468-nucleotide ribosomal RNA is filed under the name uncultured bacterium. RNAcentral's name for it is "partial 16S ribosomal RNA". It matches the Rfam family "Bacterial small subunit ribosomal RNA", at positions 28 to 507 of the family's 1533-position model. The record is from RNAcentral.